RNAcentral lists this ribosomal RNA (483 nucleotides) under uncultured bacterium. Its description in RNAcentral is "bacterial SSU rRNA". It matches the Rfam family "Bacterial small subunit ribosomal RNA", at positions 30 to 507 of the family's 1533-position model. The record is from RNAcentral.
AUUGAACGCUGGCGGCAUGCCUUACACAUGCAAGUCGAACGGCAGCACGGGAGCAAUCCUGGUGGCGAGUGGCGAACGGGUGAGUAAUAUAUCGGAACGUGCCCAGUCGUGGGGGAUAACGUAGCGAAAGCUACGCUAAUACCGCAUACGAUCUAUGGAUGAAAGCGGGGGAUCGCAAGACCUCGCGCGAUUGGAGCGGCCGAUAUCAGAUUAGGUAGUUGGUGAGGUAAAGGCUCACCAAGCCGACGAUCUGUAGCUGGUCUGAGAGGACGACCAGCCACACUGGGACUGAGACACGGCCCAGACUCCUACGGGAGGCAGCAAUGGGGAAUUUUGGACAAUGGGCGCAAGCCUGAUCCAGCAAUGCCGCGUGCAGGAUGAAGGCCUUCGGGUUGUAAACUGCUUUGUACGGAACGAAACGGUAAGCUCUAAUACAGUUUGCUAAUGACGGUACCGUAAGAAUAAGCACCGGCUAACUACGUG